GACGAACGCUGGCGGCGUGCUUAACACAUGCAAGUCGAACGGAAAGGCUCCAGCUUGCUGGAGUACUCGAGUGGCGAACGGGUGAGUAACACGUGGGUAAUCUGCCCUGCACUCUGGGAUAAGCCUGGGAAACUGGGUCUAAUACUGGAUAUGACCUUUCUCCUUAUGGGGUUUGGUGGAAAGUUUUUCGGUGUAGGAUGAGCCCGCGGCCUAUCAGCUUGUUGGUGGGGUGAUGGCCUACCAAGGCGACGACGGGUAGCCGGCCUGAGAGGGUGAUCGGCCACAUUGGGCCUGAGAUACGGCCCAGACUCCUACGGGAGGCAGCAGUGGGGAAUAUUGCACAAUGGGCGGAAGCCUGAUGCAGCGACGCCGCGUGAGGGAUGACGGCCUUCGGGUUGUAAACCUCUUUCAGCAGGGACGAAGCGUAAGUGACGGUACCUGCAGAAGAAGCACCGGCUAACUAUGUG
Molecule: ribosomal RNA, 467 nt
Filed under: uncultured bacterium
Lineage: Bacteria
Description: partial 16S ribosomal RNA
Rfam family: Bacterial small subunit ribosomal RNA
Source: RNAcentral